UACGUAGGGUGCAAGCGUUGUCCGGAAUUAUUGGGCGUAAAGAGCUCGUAGGCGGUUUGUUGCGUCGGCUGUGAAAUCCCGAGGCUCAACCUCGGGUCUGCAGUCGAUACGAGCAAACUAGAGUGUUGCAGGGGAGACUGGAAUUCCUGGUGUAGAGGUGAAAUUCGUAGAUAUCGGGAGGAACACCGGUGGCGAAGGCGGCGACCUGGGUCGACACUGACGCUGAGGCGCGAAGGCGUGGGGAGCGAACGGG
This 253-nucleotide ribosomal RNA is filed under the name uncultured bacterium. RNAcentral describes it as "partial 16S ribosomal RNA". It matches the Rfam family "Bacterial small subunit ribosomal RNA", at positions 524 to 776 of the family's 1533-position model. The record is from RNAcentral.